Molecule: transfer RNA, 74 nt
Filed under: Candidatus Nomurabacteria bacterium
Lineage: Bacteria; Candidatus Nomuraibacteriota
Also listed under: 1 other name
Description: tRNA-Ala
Rfam family: tRNA
About the family: Transfer RNA (tRNA) molecules are approximately 80 nucleotides in length.
Source: RNAcentral
GGGCCUGUAGCUCAAUUGGCUAGAGCACUUCAUUCGCAUUGAAGAGGUUAUGGGUUCGAUUCCCGUCAGGUCCA